UACAGAGGGUGCAAGCGUUGUUCGGAAUUACUGGGCGUAAAGGGCGUGUAGGCGGCUUAGCAAGUCAGAUGUGAAAGCCCGAGGCUUAACUUCGGAAGUGCAUUUGAAACUGCUAGGCUAGAGUGAUGUAGAGGUUGGUGGAAUUCCCAGUGUAGAGGUGAAAUUCGUAGAUAUUGGGAGGAACACCGGUGGCGAAGGCGGCCAACUGGGCAUUAACUGACGCUGAGGCGCGAAAGCGUGGGGAUCAAACAGGAUUAGAUACCCUGGUAGUCCACGCUGUAAACGAUGGAUACUCGAUGUGGCUGGUAUUGACCCCGGCCGUGUCCAAGUUAACACGAUAAGUAUCCCGCCUGGGGAGUACGGUCGCAAGAUUA
RNAcentral lists this ribosomal RNA (374 nucleotides) under uncultured bacterium. Its description in RNAcentral is "bacterial SSU rRNA". It matches the Rfam family "Bacterial small subunit ribosomal RNA", at positions 524 to 896 of the family's 1533-position model. The record is from RNAcentral.